AGAGUUUGAUCCUGGCUCAGGAUGAACGCUGGCGGUAUGCUUAACACAUGCAAGUCGAGCGGACUCUUCGGAGUUAGUGGCGGACGGGUGAGUAACGCGUGAGAAUCUGGCUUCAGGUUCGGGACAACAGUUGGAAACGGCUGCUAAUACCGGAUGUGCCUUAUGGUGAAAGAUUUAUCACCUGAAGAUGAGCUCGCGUCUGAUUAGCUAGUAGGUGUGGUAAGAGCGCACCUAGGCGACGAUCAGUAGCUGGUCUGAGAGGAUGAUCAGCCACACUGGGACUGAGACACGGCCCAGACUCCUACGGGAGGCAGCAGUGGGGAAUUUUCCGCAAUGGGCGAAAGCCUGACGGAGCAAUACCGCGUGAGGGAGGAAGGCUCUUGGGUUGUAAACCUCUUUUCUCAGGGAAGAAUGAUGACGGUACCUGAGGAAUAAGCAUCGGCUAACUCCGUGCCAGCAGCCGCGGUAAUACGGAGGAUGCAAGCGUUAUCCGGAAUGAUUGGGCGUAAAGCGUCCGCAGGUGGCAAUGUAAGUCUGCUGUCAAAGCGUCUGGCUCAACCAGAUAAAGGCAGUGGAAACUACAUAGCUAGAGUAAGGUAGGGGUAGAGGGAAUUCCUGGUGUAGCGGUGAAAUGCGUAGAGAUCAGGAAGAACACCGGUGGCGAAAGCGCUCUGCUGGACCUUAACUGACACUGAGGGACGAAAGCUAGGGGAGCGAAUGGGAUUAGAUACCCUAGUAGUCC
This 742-nucleotide ribosomal RNA is filed under the name uncultured bacterium. Its description in RNAcentral is "bacterial SSU rRNA". It matches the Rfam family "Bacterial small subunit ribosomal RNA", at positions 8 to 796 of the family's 1533-position model. The record is from RNAcentral.